UACGUAGGGACCAAGCGUUGUUCGGAUUUACUGGGCGUAAAGGGCGCGUAGGCGGCGUGGUAAGUCAGUUGUGAAAUCUCCGGGCUUAACUCGGAACGGUCAACUGAUACUGCGCGGCUAGAGUGCAGAAGGGGCAACUGGAAUUCUCGGUGUAGCGGUGAAAUGCGUAGAUAUCGAGAGGAACACCGGUGGCGAAGGCGGGUCUCUGGGCCGUAACUGACGCUGAGGAGCGAAAGCGUGGGGAGCGAACGGG
RNAcentral lists this ribosomal RNA (253 nucleotides) under uncultured bacterium. Its description in RNAcentral is "partial 16S ribosomal RNA". It matches the Rfam family "Bacterial small subunit ribosomal RNA", at positions 524 to 776 of the family's 1533-position model. The record is from RNAcentral.